This 845-nucleotide ribosomal RNA is filed under the name uncultured bacterium. RNAcentral describes it as "bacterial SSU rRNA". It matches the Rfam family "Bacterial small subunit ribosomal RNA", at positions 57 to 887 of the family's 1533-position model. The record is from RNAcentral.
GCAGUUGAGCGCUGAGGUUGGUACCUGUACCGACUGGAUGAGCAGCGAACGGUCGAUAGAAGCGUGGGGAAUCUGCCUUUGAGCGGGGGACAACAUCUUGAAACGAAUGCUAAUACCGCAUAAAAACUUUAAACACAAGUUUUAAGUUUGAAAGAUGCAAUUGCAUCACUCAAAGAUGAUCCCGCGUUGUAUUAGCUAGUUGGUGAGGUAAAGGCUCACCAAGGCGAUGAUACAUAGCCGACCUGAGAGGGUGAUCGGCCACAUUGGGACUGAGACACGGCCCAAACUCCUACGGGAGGCAGCAGUAGGGAAUCUUCGGCAAUGGACGAAAGUCUGACCGAGCAACGCCGCGUGAGUGAAGAAGGUUUUCGGAUCGUAAAACUCUGUUGGUAGAGAAGAAUGUUGGUGAGAGUGGAAAGCUCAUCAAGUGACGGUAACUACCCAGAAAGGGACGGCUAACUACGUGCCAGCAGCCGCGGUAAUACGUAGGUCCCGAGCGUUGUCCGGAUUUAUUGGGCGUAAAGCGAGCGCAGGUGGUUUAUUAAGUCUGGUGUAAAAGGCAGUGGCUCAACCAUUGUAUGCAUUGGAAACUGGUAGACUUGAGUGCAGGAGAGGAGAGUGGAAUUCCAUGUGUAGCGGUGAAAUGCGUAGAUAUAUGGAGGAACACCGGUGGCGAAAGCGGCUCUCUGGCCUGUAACUGACACUGAGGCUCGAAAGCGUGGGGAGCAAACAGGAUUAGAUACCCUGGUAGUCCACGCCGUANACGAUGAGUGCUAGAUGUAGGGAGCUAUAAGUUCUCUGUAUCGCAGCUAACGCAAUAAGCACUCCGCCUGGGGAGUACGACC